This 254-nucleotide ribosomal RNA is filed under the name uncultured bacterium. Its description in RNAcentral is "partial 16S ribosomal RNA". It matches the Rfam family "Bacterial small subunit ribosomal RNA", at positions 524 to 776 of the family's 1533-position model. The record is from RNAcentral.
UACGUAGGGUGCAAGCGUUGUCCGGAAUUAUUGGGCGUAAAGAGCUCGUAGGCGGUGUGUCACGUCGGCCGUGAAAACCUGCAGCUUAACUGUGGGCGUGCGGUCGAUACGGGCAUCACUGGAGUUCGGCAGGGGAGACUGGAAUUCCUGGUGUAGCGGUGAAAUGCGCAGAUAUCAGGAGGAACACCGGUGGCGAAGGCGGGUCUCUGGACAGUUCCUGACACUGAGGCACGAAGGCCAGGGGAGCAAACGGG